AUGAGCGAAAAUCUGUGUGAAAAAAUAAAUAAUAAUAUGGAGAAUAUACGAAAUAAUGUUAUAAAGGCGUUCGAAAAUUUAAGACAAAUCGAUAAUAUAUAUGUAAAUAAUGUUCGUACAGAAAUACAAAAAAAAGUUAAUUCUUUAUUAUAUAAAUGUUUACCAUUGUCUGAAGAUAAAAAAAUAAUAAAUGAAAGAAGAUUUAUAGUUAUAAUUGAGAAAGAUAAAAAUAAAUAUGAUAAUUUUCGUUGUCCUAUAUGUAUGUUAAUACUAUUCCAACCUGUUCAAACCCAAUGUAAACAUAUUUAUUGUAAAGAAUGUAUUGAAGCGACAUUAAAAAAAUAUAACCAUUGUCCAUUAUGUAGAGAAGUUACUUCAAAUCAAACAUUAACAGAUUUGCCAAUCAGUUAUUUUGGGAGGGAAUAUACUAAUAUUAAAAUACGUUGUUAUAAAUGUAAACAAAUUACGACAAUAGAAAAAUAUGAACAACAUUUAAAAAAUCACAUAAAUUAUUAUGAUACAUAUGAUAAAACUAAUUUGUUUUAUAAAAAUAAUUUUUCUACUAAUUCUAUUUUUUGUUUUGGUAAUAAAAAUUAUAAAAAUAAUUACAGUAAUUAUAAUUCCUAUUUAGAACGAACAGUUAAAAAUUUAAAAAAUAUAAAAACACUUUUUAAUAAAAAAAUUAGAAUAAAUGAAAUGAAUACUUUUUUAUUAUAUAUAGAAAAUAUAAGUAUAAUUACAGACAUAUAUAGUAUACAACUAGUAUAUGGACGAAAGGUUUUCAACGAAGCAAUUUAUUUGGAGAAAUCUCAUAUUACAGCUGACUUUGAAAAAAACAGAACAAAUGACUUUUUUUUAAUUAUAAAAUUGAAAAAAAAACAAAAAAAAAAACAAAAAACAGAUGCGAGUGCUGUAUCAACAACUGCCGUACCAACAACUGGUGUAAGACCCAAUUCGAUAGAAAUACAAAAAAAAAAAGGAAUGGAACAUUUUGAGAAAUAUAAUAAAAAGAUAAACACAUUUGAAACUUAUGAAUCUUAUAAAACAUAUAUACAUAAAAAAAUUAAUAAAAAAAAAAAUAAAACACAUGAGUAUUUAUAUAUUAUAUUUGAAUAUAAUAUAAAUUCCUUAUUUUUUACUAUUAUGGAGUAUAUUCCUUUUUUUAAAGAUAUACAUAUAACCAACAUAAUAACAUAUAAAAUAAACAAAUGGAAAGAAAAUGUUAGAAGCGAUGAAAUCGAUCUUAACAAUAUUACUCCUAAUGACUAUAAUAGCACUAACAGUAAUAUUGCUAAAAUUAAUUUAGUUGAUAUAUUUAUAACGUUGAAUAAAAUGACAGAAAUGCAUAAAAAUAAGAGUAGUACCUUUUCGUAUAAUUCGGUAAAUAUAUUUCAGGAGUUUGUAGAUUUGUAUGUACAGAAAAGAAAUUAA
Molecule: long non-coding RNA, 1431 nt
Filed under: Piliocolobus tephrosceles (Ugandan red Colobus)
Lineage: Eukaryota; Metazoa; Chordata; Mammalia; Primates; Cercopithecidae
Description: lncRNA (ENSPTEG00000013905.1)
Source: RNAcentral